This 1772-nucleotide long non-coding RNA is filed under the name Lynx pardinus (Iberian lynx). The record is from RNAcentral. Lineage: Eukaryota; Metazoa; Chordata; Mammalia; Carnivora; Felidae.
GUUGCGGGGGUGGGUGCCAUCCAGGAAGGGCCAGUCUGCCCUCCAGGGCUGCCCCAGACAAGCUGAGCCCCUAUGCCCUGCCCACUCUGCCAGGGCUGGUCCAGCUCCAGAUGUGAAAAGAUGCAGGGAAGGCGAGCUCUCCGAAACCCGGACCACACCCUGGCCUUUCCUCCGUGUGCCUCCUGGGGCCAAGUCAGACAGAGAUGCCCUGCGGGCUGAGGAGGAGGCCCCACUGUGGGUCAAGGAAGGCUCUGGCCAUGAAGAGGCCACCUCCUCCCCUCUCAAAAGGAAGCAGGGACUUCCAGCAGCUCCUGGUGAGAGGUAGGGAGGGGUGAGGGCGGGGGAGCCCCUCCCCUGCAGGCUGUGUGGAGGGGUGGGCCCUGGGCCACGCCCAGCUGCAGCACAACCACCCAGGAGGCAGGAACCGGGGCUCCCCCGAGCACCCUUCACCUGCUCCUGCCCUUGUGCCAAGCUCGAGCCAACAGCCACUGAGGACAGAAUUGGUGGGCGAGGGGCCGUCUGGCUUCCCUGCCUCGGCCCCUCCCAGCGUCAUGCUGUGAAGGCCAAGGGGACGGGUGUGGGGGUUGCCACCUCGCCCAGCAGCGCCUUUGCCCCCACCCUGGGGUCUGAGCCUUGUGGGGAGGAGCCCUGGGACUCAGGGGCUGGUUGGAGCCGGUACCCCCAGCGUGGCUCAGACCCAACACUUCCCUUGGAGGUUCUUGUUCUGUCCAUCUCCGCUCACCAGAGCUGUUCCAGACCCCACGGGCUCGGUUCUCCAGCUUCCUGACGAUCCAGGAGCCCCAGGAUCCUUCCAGUCACUUCUCACUGGUUUCGGUGGCUCAGGGCCGCUGACCGUCUCCCCCAGGCCCAGCCGUCAGGUUCGUGGCACUGCUCUCUGCCCCCAGACCUCUGCCCUCGGGGGAGAAGCAGUCUCCGGGUCUCCGUGCCUCCACCCUGCUGACCACAGAGGGAGCCCGAACUGUGCUGACGAUGUCAAGGGCCCCCUGGCCCCCUGCCUAGUCAGCCUCCACCCCAGGGAGCCCCUGCAGGAGCUGGGAGGGCGGAGGCCAGAUCCUCCCUAUGGUCACCGGGGGCCUCGCCUACACAGUUCACCUCGACCUUCUAGAACCGGUCCUCCCCUCCACCCUUUGACCUGGGUGGGUCAGCUCUGCUGCUCCCAGCUCUAGGUUCCUGCACGGGCUCUCAGGGUCCCCUGCACCCCACCCACGUGCGCAUAGUUUCUGUGUAAACACACGACCCACUUUCUCCUCAUCUGUGGGUGCCCUCUGUGUCCCUCCAGGAAAUGGGUCGGGGCUGGGCAUCUCUGCCUGGGGCUUCAGGAGGGGCCCCUGCCCCCACCCUCACCUGGAAUCCAAACCAGGCAGCUGCCUCCAAUGUCCUGUCCCUCAGGUACCUUCAGCACCCCGAUCACAGGCUGCAGGCCGCCGUGACCCUGCCCCAGCUUCAGUGUGCAGGGCGGUCAGGACGUGGGCUCUGCGGGCCUGGGUCGUCCCAGCCCCCACUGUUCAGCAGCCAGGCCCCCGUGCCUCCUCCUCUUGCCAAACCUGGUGACGCGUCAGGCACCUGGUGGCAGGCCCCGGAGCUCGCACCCGUGAGAGCGCCUGUGGGGCCAGGUGGCGACCUCAACCACCAGGUUGCCUCAAGCCAGACUCUGGCCCACUGGCAGCUGCCCACCCGGGGUCUGGAGAUCCUCCCACGGGCCGGGCCUCCGGUUUUGCUGGGGCAGUCACACUAAGUAUGGGAAUGAGAAG